RNAcentral lists this ribosomal RNA (1499 nucleotides) under uncultured bacterium. RNAcentral's name for it is "bacterial SSU rRNA". It matches the Rfam family "Bacterial small subunit ribosomal RNA". The record is from RNAcentral.
UAGAGUUUGAUCAUGGCUCAGGAUGAACGCUAGCGACAGGCUUAACACAUGCAAGUCGAGGGGCAGCGGGGAGGUAGCAAUACUUCCGCCGGCGACCGGCGCACGGGUGAGUAACACGUAUGGAACCUGCCCGUAGCAGGGGGAUAAACGGAAGAAAUUCCGUCUAAUACCGCGUAAUAACUCCGAGAGGCAUCUCAUGGAGUUUAAAGGGUAACACCGGCUACGGAUGGCCAUGCGGCGCAUUAGCUAGUUGGCGGGGUAACGGCCCACCAAGGCGACGAUGCGUAGGGGUUCUGAGAGGAAGGUCCCCCACACUGGUACUGAGACACGGACCAGACUCCUACGGGAGGCAGCAGUGAGGAAUAUUGGUCAAUGGGCGCGAGCCUGAACCAGCCAAGUCGCGUGAGGGAAGACGGUCCUAUGGAUUGUAAACCUCUUUUGUCGGGGAGCAAAAGACGCCACGUGUGGCGUUCCGAGAGUACCCGAAGAAAAAGCAUCGGCUAACUCCGUGCCAGCAGCCGCGGUAAUACGGAGGAUGCGAGCGUUAUCCGGAUUUAUUGGGUUUAAAGGGUGCGCAGGCGGAAGAUCAAGUCAGCGGUAAAAUUGAGAGGCUCAACCUCUUCGAGCCGUUGAAACUGGUUUUCUUGAGUGAGCGAGAAGUAUGCCGAAUGCGUGGUGUAGCGGUGAAAUGCAUAGAUAUCACGCAGAACUCCGAUUGCGAAGGCAGCAUACCGGCGCUCAACUGACGCUCAUGCACGAAAGUGUGGGUAUCGAACAGGAUUAGAUACCCUGGUAGUCCACACAGUAAACGAUGAAUACUAAUUGUUCGGGGAGAAUGAUCCCUGAGUGAUACAGCGAAAGCGUUAAGUAUUCCACCUGGGGAGUACGCCGGCAACGGUGAAACUCAAAGGAAUUGACGGGGGCCCGCACAAGCGGAGGAACAUGUGGUUUAAUUCGAUGAUACGCGAGGAACCUUACCCGGGCUCAAACGACACAGGAAUACUUUUGAAAGGAAGUAGCUCUACGGAGCCUGUGUCGAGGUGCUGCAUGGUUGUCGUCAGCUCGUGCCGUGAGGUGUCGGCUUAAGUGCCAUAACGAGCGCAACCCCCAUCGCCAGUUACCAGCAAGUCAAGUUGGGGACUCUGGCGAGACUGCCGGCGCAAGCUGUGAGGAAGGCGGGGAUGACGUCAAAUCAGCACGGCCCUUACGUCCGGGGCGACACACGUGUUACAAUGGCAGGUACAGAGAGAAGCAAUGCGGCGACGCAAAGCGGAACUUGAAAGCCUGUCUCAGUUCGGAUUGGAGUCUGCAACUCGACUCCAUGAAGCUGGAUUCGCUAGUAAUCGCGCAUCAGCCAUGGCGCGGUGAAUACGUUCCCGGGCCUUGUACACACCGCCCGUCAAGCCAUGGAAGCCGGGAGUGCCUGAAGUGUGCAACCGCAAGGAGCGCCCUAAGGUAAAACUGGUGACUGGGGCUAAGUCGUAACAAGGUAACCGUAA